AUCUUGCAUGACUAUGAAGUGGCCUCGGGGCAGAAAGUAAAUAUGCAAAAAUCUUCUAUUUACUUUGGGAAAGGUAGUACCAAUGAGAAUAAGGAACAUUUGAAGGAGGUCAUUGGCAUCGAAUCCGAAGCGUUAAGUGAAAAUUAUUUGGGCCUACCAACUGUGGUGGGAAGAGCCAAAGAUGGGACAUUUAAAUACGUUCGAUAG
This 207-nucleotide ribosomal RNA is filed under the name Triticum aestivum (bread wheat). RNAcentral's name for it is "partial small subunit ribosomal RNA". Lineage: Eukaryota; Viridiplantae; Streptophyta; Magnoliopsida; Poales; Poaceae. The record is from RNAcentral.